Molecule: ribosomal RNA, 472 nt
Filed under: uncultured bacterium
Lineage: Bacteria
Description: bacterial SSU rRNA
Rfam family: Bacterial small subunit ribosomal RNA
Source: RNAcentral
AGAGUUUGAUCCUGGCUCAGGAUGAACGCUGGCGGUAUGCUUAACACAUGCAAGUCGAACGGGUUCUUAGGAACUAGUGGCGGACGGGUGAGUAACGCGUGAGAAUCUGGCUUCUGGUUUGGGACAACAGUUGGAAACGGCUGCUAAUACCGAAUGUGCUGAAAAGUGAAAGGCUUGCUGCCAGAAGAUGAGCUCGCGUCCGAUUAGCUAGUUGGUGUGGUAAAGGCGCACCAAGGCGACGAUCGGUAGCUGGUCUGAGAGGAUGAUCAGCCACACUGGAACUGAGACACGGUCCAGACUCCUACGGGAGGCAGCAGUGGGGAAUUUUCCGCAAUGGGCGAAAGCCUGACGGAGCAAUACCGCGUGAGGGAGGAAGGCUCUUGGGUUGUAAACCUCUUUUCUCAGGGAAGAAAAAUGACGGUACCUGAGGAAUAAGCAUCGGCUAACUCCGUGCCAGCCGCCGCGGUAAUUC